UACGAAGGGGGCUAGCGUUGUUCGGAAUUACUGGGCGUAAAGGGCGCGUAGGCGGCCGAUCAAGUCAGAUGUGAAAGUCCUGGGCUUAACCUGGGGACUGCAUUUGAUACUGAUUGGCUUGAAUUCGGGAGAGGAUAGCGGAAUUCCCAGUGUAGAGGUGAAAUUCGUAGAUAUUGGGAAGAACACCGGUGGCGAAGGCGGCUAUCUGGACCGGCAUUGACGCUGAGGCGCGAAAGCGUGGGGAGCAAACAGG
Molecule: ribosomal RNA, 253 nt
Filed under: uncultured bacterium
Lineage: Bacteria
Description: partial 16S ribosomal RNA
Rfam family: Bacterial small subunit ribosomal RNA
Source: RNAcentral